AGGUGUGGAUUAAAAUCUGUCCACAGUUGAAGCUAUGGAACUCUGAAGUUGACUUCAAUGGGUUUUCACAAGUUUUCCAAGUGCUUUUGUCUUCAGCGUGAUUUUUGGAAAUACCAUGAAAGUGUUACAACAAAGGAGCCUCCUGCGUUAAGGACAUCACAUCCAUACAUUGCAGAAAAUGUGAACAUAAGCAGCUGCAAUAUGAGAUGAACUUUGAACACCAAAUAGAUUUUGGAUCAGGCCCAUGAAGAAUAUAGUCCAUUAUAACGACAAGCGGAAUGAUGAUAAUGCUGUGGAAUCACCCUUGGAGAGCAUUAAAGAAAAAAUUACGUUUUGCAUCCC
This is a non-coding RNA of Pelodiscus sinensis (Chinese soft-shelled turtle), 342 nucleotides long. The record is from RefSeq and is a predicted model, not a curated record. NCBI's taxonomy places the organism in Eukaryota, Metazoa, Chordata, Testudines, Trionychidae.